Molecule: ribosomal RNA, 801 nt
Filed under: Streptomyces sp.
Lineage: Bacteria; Bacillati; Actinomycetota; Actinomycetes; Kitasatosporales; Streptomycetaceae
Description: bacterial SSU rRNA
Rfam family: Bacterial small subunit ribosomal RNA
Source: RNAcentral
CGAUGAACCACUUCGGUGGGGAUUAGUGGCGAACGGGUGAGUAACACGUGGGCAAUCUGCCCUGCACUCUGGGACAAGCCCUGGAAACGGGGUCUAAUACCGGAUACUGAUCCUCGCAGGCAUCUGCGAGGUUCGAAAGCUCCGGCGGUGCAGGAUGAGCCCGCGGCCUAUCAGCUAGUUGGUGAGGUAACGGCUCACCAAGGCGACGACGGGUAGCCGGCCUGAGAGGGCGACCGGCCACACUGGGACUGAGACACGGCCCAGACUCCUACGGGAGGCAGCAGUGGGGAAUAUUGCACAAUGGGCGAAAGCCUGAUGCAGCGACGCCGCGUGAGGGAUGACGGCCUUCGGGUUGUAAACCUCUUUCAGCAGGGAAGAAGCGAAAGUGACGGUACCUGCAGAAGAAGCGCCGGCUAACUACGUGCCAGCAGCCGCGGUAAUACGUAGGGCGCAAGCGUUGUCCGGAAUUAUUGGGCGUAAAGAGCUCGUAGGCGGCUUGUCACGUCGGUUGUGAAAGCCCGGGGCUUAACCCCGGGUCUGCAGUCGAUACGGGCAGGCUAGAGUUCGGUAGGGGAGAUCGGAAUUCCUGGUGUAGCGGUGAAAUGCGCAGAUAUCAGGAGGAACACCGGUGGCGAAGGCGGAUCUCUGGGCCGAUACUGACGCUGAGGAGCGAAAGCGUGGGAGCGAACAGGAUUAGAUACCCUGGUAGUCCACGCCGUAAACGGUGGGCACUAGGUGUGGGCAACAUUCCACGUUGUCCGUGCCGCAGCUAACGCAUUAAGUGCCCCGCCUGGGGAGUAC